RNAcentral lists this long non-coding RNA (499 nucleotides) under Anas platyrhynchos platyrhynchos (common mallard). RNAcentral describes it as "lncRNA (ENSAPLG00000019089.1)". Lineage: Eukaryota; Metazoa; Chordata; Aves; Anseriformes; Anatidae. The record is from RNAcentral.
CAUAACCAAGGCAGACAUCCUAACCCAAGAUAUUGGAUAUACAAAGUUUUGCCUGUAAUCUCUGUCCUUGCAUGUAAGGAUGACAAAAUUGAGACAAUUUACCUGUUGGUUACUAGGAGAAAAGGAACAUAAAAUAACUUAAAUCUUGGUUUCCAAGCUAGUCUCUGAAUAUGAUAUAUUCUAUCAGAAAGAAAUUUUCUUAACUUUCUCUUUUAUUUUUUUCUUUUCUUUUUUUUUCUUUUUUCCCCAGAUGGACUAGCUCUAUCAAGCACCUGAUGUGAACAAAACGAUUACAUCCUUAGUUGAUAUCACAGUUACAAUAUUACUUAUAUAUAUUAUGUAGCAAGCAAAAAAAGUCAUCAACAUUUUUUAACCUCUUUCUCCAAAUUUCCUCUCUUGGUCCAAGUUGGCAAGUCUUUCAGGACCAUAUCUUUUCAGCAGAUAAGGUAUCUGCAGUGAGAUGAUGAGCCACCUGGGAGAAUUAACACCUGGAUUUACA